Molecule: long non-coding RNA, 2110 nt
Organism: Ailuropoda melanoleuca (giant panda)
Lineage: Eukaryota; Metazoa; Chordata; Mammalia; Carnivora; Ursidae
Exons: 3
Source: RefSeq, a predicted model, not a curated record
CUCAAUAUUUUUCGAGCUUGCUCCAUGUAAGUAGUUUCUAAUGGCCACACCUGCUCUAUUUCAUGGUCAUAAUAAAACGCGUGGAACUGGUCCCCUACUGACAGACACCUAAAUUGCUGUCGCACAAAAUGCCACCAGGACAGAGUGUCUUAAGGUAAUUGAGUUGCCAUCCAGAGAGCUACCGUAUGGAGGAAAAUACAUCACAGAAGUCGCCCAGGCAGUCCAGAGCAGCUCGCUCGGACCUUCAGUCUCCUGCCUUCCGUCCACCUCUGGCUGAGGCCUCUGCCAUGACCAACCAUCCUGAAGAGUGGCCAGGACUUGUUUGCCUGUCUCUGGACGCCCCUCAUUGCUACCAUAAACCGUCCUGCACUGACCUUCUCAUUGCUAAAUCCAACAACUGCUCUUCAGUCUCUCCCAGGCCGGCUCCCUAAACUACGGUGAUGGUGAAUUCCAUGUGUUAACGGGGCUGGUCCCAAAUACAUGGUCAAACACUAUUCUAGAUGUUUCUGAAGGUGUUUUUAGGGUGGGAUUAACAUUUAAAUCAAUGAACUUUGAGUAAAGCAGAUUGCCCUCCCUGAUAUUAGUGGCCCUCACCCAAACGGUCCAAGAUCUUCUUGAAGAGAAAUGGACUGAGGUCCCAGGAAGACAGAAUUCAGGCAGCAGAUGGCCUUCGACCUCAGGCUGCAGUGCUGGCUCGCUGCUGGUCUGCAGGCUGCCCGCCACCCUGCUGCCUGGCAAAUCUUUGAUAUUCCAUAAAUGUUUGUCAUGCAAAUGAGUACAUUCCCAGGAACGCAGAGGGCGUAGCAUACAUUGCUAACUCCCCCAACAAGCAGUUGUCGGGGGCCCACCACAUACGGAGGCAGAGGUGUGAAGGUGUGAAGACAGGCAUUCUGCUGGGGCUCGGGAGGGGAGUCAGCGGCAGCAGGAUGUGCUCUUGCCCAGAGCAGGGAAACAAAGAGGCCAGCAGAGCCCUCCCCAAGAGGACCAGACCGUGCUGUAGGCCAAAGAGUGUGGUAGACUGAGAAGAAGCUCUGAACCCAGAUGGAUCUAAACAGGAACCCUGGCCUCCUGCCCAUAGACUUCUCACUCUGAGCAUGUGGCUUCAUCUUCUGAGUUACAGCAAAGGGGGUAACCCCACCCUAUAGGAAUGGCAAGGAUCACGCAGAGGCACCAGUGCACGGCAUAUGGUGGGGCCUGCUGAAGGUUAACUCAGCACCCCUGCCAUGGCCUCUCCAGCUUUAACACAGAGAAGCUAAACUCAUGAAAGAACAACGAUCGUCACCUUUAAAUGUGUACAAAAUAAAUGUCCUGUGGCUUGAAGGAAAUGAUUGGCCUGUCCAGGGACUGACCUGCAAAUGUCCAAGCUACUUAGGGACCCGCCUGCCUCAGCCUACUCGAGAGGCUAGGACAAAACACCAAAGUGGUGGGCAGACACCACAGGCUGAGGGGCUUGCGAACAACAGAAACACAUUUCCCAUAGAUCCGAGGCAGGAAGGCCAAGAUCAAGGUGCUGGUGGAUUGGGUGUCUGGUGAGAACCUGCCUCCUGGGUUCAUGGAUGGUACCUUCUUGCUCUGUCUGCACAUGGAAGAGGGUGAGGGGCGCUCUGGGGUCUGUUUUAUAAGGCACUAAUUCCAUCAUGAGAGCGCCACCUUCAUGAUAUGAUCCCCUCCCAAGGGCCCCACCUCCCAACACCAUCACCUUGGCGGUUAGGAUGUCAGCAUAUGCAUAUGAAUUUUGGGGGAGACAUAAACAGUCUAUAGCACCAUCAAAUGUAUGGAGUUGUUGAAGAGAAGGUUUAGAGCCAGCCUGUAUUAACAGGGAAAUGUUUAAGUUGUAGCAUUAAGUGUAAAAACAAAUCAGUACACAUAAUUACAUACAGAGUGAAAUCCUGAGAUGCCCAGCAUUACUGUGGGAAACACAGCCAGCUCUAAGCCACACAACAAACUAUGAAUGUAAACAUUGUCAGGAAAUCAGUCUACAUGCAGCAUUUUCUCUUCUUUCAGCCAUUCUAAACCUUCCAUAUUUCAUGACCAUGAAUUAUUUUUAUAAUGGAAAAAUAAAUAGUAAAAUAUUUUUAAAAAUAAGUUGCAGGGGCGCCUGGGUGGCACA